GCUCUUAUAGCCCAAUGGCAGAGGCAUCAGGUUUAGGUCCUGACAAGUGUCGGUUCGAAUCCGACUAAGAGCA
The sequence is a transfer RNA, 73 nucleotides long. It matches the Rfam family "tRNA". Rfam says of the family: Transfer RNA (tRNA) molecules are approximately 80 nucleotides in length.